GGACUUAUAGCUCAGUUGGUAGAGCUUCCGGCUCAUAACCGGACGGUCGGGGGUUCGAUUCCCUCUGGGUCCACCA
This 76-nucleotide transfer RNA is filed under the name Candidatus Cloacimonetes bacterium 4572_65. Its description in RNAcentral is "tRNA-Met". It matches the Rfam family "tRNA". From Rfam's summary of the family: Transfer RNA (tRNA) molecules are approximately 80 nucleotides in length. Their secondary structure includes four short double-helical elements and three loops (D, anti-codon, and T loops). Further hydrogen bonds mediate the characteristic L-shaped molecular structure. tRNAs have two regions of fundamental functional importance: the anti-codon, which is responsible for specific mRNA codon recognition, and the 3' end, to which the tRNAs corresponding amino acid is attached (by aminoacyl-tRNA synthetases). tRNAs cope with the degeneracy of the genetic code in two manners: having more than one tRNA (with a specific anti-codon) for a particular amino acid; and 'wobble' base-pairing, i.e. permitting non-standard base-pairing at the 3rd anti-codon position. RNAcentral also lists the same sequence under 1 other name. Lineage: Bacteria; Pseudomonadati; Candidatus Cloacimonadota. The record is from RNAcentral.